This 671-nucleotide ribosomal RNA is filed under the name uncultured Verrucomicrobiota bacterium. RNAcentral describes it as "bacterial SSU rRNA". It matches the Rfam family "Bacterial small subunit ribosomal RNA", at positions 56 to 717 of the family's 1533-position model. The record is from RNAcentral. Lineage: Bacteria; Pseudomonadati; Verrucomicrobiota.
UGCAAGUCGAGCGCUGAUUUGAGGGUAGCAAUAUUUUCAAGUCGGAGCGGCGCAAGGGUGCGUAACACGUGGGAAUCUGCCUUGAAGUGUGGGAUAACUCGUCGAAAGACGAGCUAAUACCGCAUGUGAUCGUAAGAUCAAAGUUGGGGAUCGCAAGACCUGACGCUUCAAGAUGAGCCCGCGGCCUAUCAGCUAGUUGGCGAGGUAAAAGCUCACCAAGGCUAAGACGGGUAGCUGGUCUGAGAGGACGACCAGCCACACUGGAACUGAGACACGGUCCAGACACCUACGGGUGGCAGCAGUCGAGAAUUUUUCUCAAUGGGCGAAAGCCUGAAGGAGCGACGCCGCGUGGGGGAUGAAUGGCUUCGGCCCGUAAACCCCUGUCAUUUGCGAACAAAUUGACUCACUUAACACGUGUGUCAUUGAUUGUAGCGGAAGAGGAAGGGACGGCUAACUCUGUGCCAGCAGCCGCGGUAAUACAGAGGUCCCAAGCGUUGUUCGGAUUCACUGGGCGUAAAGGGUGCGUAGGCGGUUGGGUAAGUCUGACGUGAAAUCUCCGGGCCUAACCCGGAAACUGCGUUGGAUACUAUCCGGCUAGAGGAAUGGAGGGGAGACUGGAAUACUUGGUGUAGCAGUGAAAUGCGUAGAUAUCAAGUGGAGCACCAGUGGCG